AAUAGGAGGGGUUGGACUGGAUGAUCUUGCAGGUCGUUUCCAACCUUGUGAUUCUGUGAUUUUUUUCUUUGUAAGAAGAAGACACCAUUGGUCAUCCUGGGACUUCCUGGGUUUUAGAAACCAAACAAAUACAACAGCGAGGGAAAGGCAAGCUACAGGAAAGAAAUUUACACUAAUUGGCCUUUAAUCAAGGGGCAAGGAACUUGUGAAUAAAUUCUGCUAAGUACCACGUGUAACAGAAUUUACCUUAAGAACAGUGUCAGCCCAUUAACAUUCUGUGCAGUCUGAGAGUGAAGGAGUGCUGUUUAAGGUGUGAACUUCAACAUCAUCUUAUAGAGGAUUUGCUCAAACAAAAAGAAACAAUUAAGAAACCCCUGCACAGGUGGCAGGCAGGAGGUCAAUUGAAUCAGUAGAGUUUUCCUCUUAGGGUAUGUUCUGUGAAGGCUUUUUUGUGGGAAAGGUUUGAGGGAUGAGGGAGGAGGAAUUGCUUUCGUCAGGAGUCAUCCGAAAACAUUGUGCAGAAAUUGUAACACUUGCAGAAGGAACAUAUUGGCAUUUUGCAGUUGUGCAGGAUGCUGAUUGGGAUGGAGAGUAAGGAGUAUCUGCAGGAGACCGUUCUCUUCUGGUUUUAGGAACCCAGGCAGAGCUCAGGUUGCAGCGUUAGGCUUGAAUUCAGCAUAUCUGCUUCUCCCUGGUUUCGGGUUCUUUGGGUCUCCUGCCUGCUUUUCACCUUUUUAUUAAUGGAGAGUGGAGUUUCUACCACAGAGCAAAGUUUCAGGAUUAACAGAAACAAACACGAACUUUCCAAACGGAUGGAGUCGUUUCUUGGUAAGCUGGCAGUCCUGCUUAUCUU
Molecule: long non-coding RNA, 853 nt
Organism: Lagopus leucura (white-tailed ptarmigan)
Lineage: Eukaryota; Metazoa; Chordata; Aves; Galliformes; Phasianidae
Exons: 2
Source: RefSeq, a predicted model, not a curated record